This 581-nucleotide ribosomal RNA is filed under the name Amusium papyraceum. RNAcentral's name for it is "partial 16S ribosomal RNA". It matches the Rfam family "Bacterial large subunit ribosomal RNA", at positions 1807 to 2619 of the family's 2925-position model. The record is from RNAcentral. Lineage: Eukaryota; Metazoa; Mollusca; Bivalvia; Pectinida; Pectinidae.
ACAAAAACAUGGCUCCUUGAAUAACAUUAGGAGUCGUGCCUUCCCGGUGAGCUUGCGGGCUUAAACGGACGCGGUAAAGCGUGCUAAGGUAGCUAAAUUAUGGCCUAUUAAUUGUAGGUCCUGUGAAUGGUUUGACGAGUUUCCAACUGUCUCUAGUUUUUUUUGGUGAACUUGAAUUGGAUGUGCAAAUGCUUCCAUGGGUAAGAAAGACGAGAAGACCCCGUGAAGUUAGAAAUUUAAGUCAUUAGUAGGUUUUAAGCUGGUCUGGCUAAAGUGUUGGAAGGCUUAAGGUUUAAGUCUUCUUUGUAAGGUAAGUGAUGGUAGUUUUGGCUGGGGCAGCAAAGGAGCAAGAGUAGACUCCUUUUGAGGAAAUAGCAGUUGUGCUACGACCCACAAAUUUAAAAGUGUGAUUAUCAGAAGAAGUUACUCCGGGGAUAACAGCGUAAUCUGUCUUGACAGUUCUUAUAGAUGGGCGGGUUUGCGACCUCGAUGUUGGCUCUGGAUGUCCUAAGGCUUGUAGGCGGUCUUUAGGGUUGGUUCGUUCGCCCAUAAAAAUCCGACGUGAUCUGAGUUCAAACCGG